Elaeis guineensis (African oil palm) is the source of this 1768-nucleotide non-coding RNA. The record is from RefSeq and is a predicted model, not a curated record. NCBI's taxonomy places the organism in Eukaryota, Viridiplantae, Streptophyta, Magnoliopsida, Arecales, Arecaceae.
AAUGUUACAAUAACAAAUCCACUUUCUUUGCUCCUCGUUUGCCUUCUUUCUCUGUGAUUUUUUGUGUUCGGAGAUCGUGAUGGGACCUGGUGGCCCAGGUGGGCCCGGUGGACCUCCUGGCCCUGGAGGACCUGGUGGCCCGGGUCCUGGUCCUGGCUGGGCUCCUCUUCCUGGGGGUCCUCCAGGUUGGGGCCCGGGCCCUGGAGGUCCUGGCCCUGGAGGCCCCUUCUGGGGCCCUGGACCAGGAGGCCCCUUCUGGGGACCUGGAGGAUCUUACUGGGGUCCUGGCUUUGGUGGUUUCCUAGGCUCAUGCUUUUACUUCCUUUGCUGUUGCUGCUUGCUGCAAGAGUGCUGUGGGCCGUUUUUUGGUGGGCCUCCAGGCCCCCCAGGCCCCCCUGGACCACCUGGACCGCCCUUUUAAUUUAAGCAGUCCGACAAAAUGGACACAUGAAGCAGAACAGUGAGCUGCUUGGUGCUAUGUCGCGUUCUUUUUCCUUUCUGGUCGCUGUCCUUUUUUUUUUUUUUUUUAUUUGUAUUGUAUUUCUCAUCCUGGUAUGCUUGCUGUGACCUACGGUUAUAGAGAUCGUCAAUGUCACAUUACUAAAGAAACCCCAACCUUCCAUUUGGAAAGCGUUUCCUUUUUUCACAAAAUAUGGGAAGGUUAAACAUUUGAUAUCUUAAUUUGUUGGUAGUUCUACAAGUUGUGCUUUAUGAUGGAAGCAGCCCACGUGGCCAUCUCCACCUUAGAUCGCCUCCGCGAAAGAUCCUCCAAGACGAGCAUCAUGGGUUCUGAGCGGAGAAUAUUUGGGAGAAGAAGACGACCCUUCCAAGACCCUCCAAGCCAAUGAAAAAGGAUCUCUCUCCGUGGAUCCUUAGCUCCUCGAUCCGUGGAUUUGAGACAUUGGCUGCCUUGGAUCCUUCUUCCUCAAAAGGGAUUGUGGGCGUUUGUCCUUCUGUCAAAGAUGCUUCAUCCCCACAAGAGAAAGGAAGACCUUCCAUCCGUAAAACCUUUAGAGAGAUCCUGCUCUCCAACCUCUCCUCCAAAAUAUCUUUGAGCCUUUUCCCUUUCGAAAUGGGAACGUGCUUUAAAUGUGGUGAACUGGGCCAUUUCAGACGAGAAUGCAGAAAUGCCCUUGUUUGCUUCUCUUGCAGGGUUAUGGUCACUCUUCUAAGAUAUGCACUUACUCUCCUCCUGUCGAUAAAAACCCAGUGUGGAUAUAUGGCAGACUGGAAAAGCUGCUUGCAUUCCUUCCCACUGAUGUUGAUGUGAGGCAUGGUCCUCGUGGAUGUCUUCACAGUCAAUACUUCUUUUAUCUCUAGUUCCCAGCUUGUUAGAGCUUUAAAGGAUCUUCUCUUCGAAUUUAACUGGGAGCCUCAGUUCCUAGGCUUCAACAGCUACGUGGUCCCCUUUCCUAACCGGAAAGAAAUCUGUCUUGCUCAAAGGAAAGGCAUCAUGAAGACCUCACAUUUCUCCUCUAUUAGGCCUUGGUCCAUUCAAGGAGGGAAAGCUGACAGUGUUCCAAACCGUGCCCUCAUUGAGAUUUCUGGUCUUCCUUUUAUCUGUGCAAAUGUUGCUUCUAUUCUAAGAAUUGUUGCUGGUUUUGGCCUUCUGCAAAAUAUACUUCCUUCUUCUCUCCUGGGGCCUUGAUAGAGGCUGUCCUUCUAUAUGUCUUCUGUGAAGGCGCUCGAUCCAUUUCUAGGAGUCUGGAUGUCAUAUGUGGUGACUUCUCCGAUGUAAGUCAAAAUUGAUAUUCUUGGUCUUGAGCAA